GACGAACGCUGGCGGCGUGCCUAAUACAUGCAAGUAGAACGCUGAAGAGAGGAGCUUGCUCUUCUUGGAUGAGUUGCGAACGGGUGAGUAACGCGUAGGUAACCUGCCUUGUAGCGGGGGAUAACUAUUGGAAACGAUAGCUAAUACCGCAUAACAAUGGAUGACACAUGUCAUUUAUUUGAAAGGGGCAAUUGCUCCACUACAAGAUGGACCUGCGUUGUAUUAGCUAGUAGGUGAGGUAAUGGCUCACCUAGGCGACGAUACAUAGCCGACCUGAGAGGGUGAUCGGCCACACUGGGACUGAGACACGGCCCAGACUCCUACGGGAGGCAGCAGUAGGGAAUCCUCGGCAAUGGGGGCAACCCUGACCGAGCAACGCCGCGUGAGUGAAGAAGGUUUUCGGAUCGUAAAGCUCUGUUGUAAGUCAAGAACGGGUGUGAGAGUGGAAAGUUCACACUGUGACGGUAGCUUACCAGAAAGGGACGGCUAACUACGUG
This 497-nucleotide ribosomal RNA is filed under the name uncultured bacterium. Its description in RNAcentral is "partial 16S ribosomal RNA". It matches the Rfam family "Bacterial small subunit ribosomal RNA", at positions 28 to 507 of the family's 1533-position model. The record is from RNAcentral.